Molecule: ribosomal RNA, 832 nt
Filed under: Streptomyces sp.
Lineage: Bacteria; Bacillati; Actinomycetota; Actinomycetes; Kitasatosporales; Streptomycetaceae
Description: bacterial SSU rRNA
Rfam family: Bacterial small subunit ribosomal RNA
Source: RNAcentral
UCGCUCAGGACGAACGCUGGCGGCGUGCUUAACACAUGCAAGUCGAACGAUGAAGCCCUUCGGGGUGGAUUAGUGGCGAACGGGUGAGUAACACGUGGGCAAUCUGCCCUUCACUCUGGGACAAGCCCUGGAAACGGGGUCUAAUACCGGAUAACACUCUGUCCCGCAUGGGACGAGGUUGAAAGCUCCGGCGGUGAAGGAUGAGCCCGCGGCCUAUCAGCUUGUUGGUGGGGUGAUGGCCUACCAAGGCGACGACGGGUAGCCGGCCUGAGAGGGCGACCGGCCACACUGGGACUGAGACACGGCCCAGACUCCUACGGGAGGCAGCAGUGGGGAAUAUUGCACAAUGGGCGAAAGCCUGAUGCAGCGACGCCGCGUGAGGGAUGACGGCCUUCGGGUUGUAAACCUCUUUCAGCAGGGAAGAAGCGAAAGUGACGGUACCUGCAGAAGAAGCGCCGGCUAACUACGUGCCAGCAGCCGCGGUAAUACGUAGGGCGCAAGCGUUGUCCGGAAUUAUUGGGCGUAAAGAGCUCGUAGGCGGCUUGUUGCGUCGGUUGUGAAAGCCCGGGGCUUAACCCCGGGUCUGCAGUCGAUACGGGCAGGCUAGAGUGUGGUAGGGGAGAUCGGAAUUCCUGGUGUAGCGGUGAAAUGCGCAGAUAUCAGGAGGAACACCGGUGGCGAAGGCGGAUCUCUGGGCCAUUACUGACGCUGAGGAGCGAAAGCGUGGGGAGCGAACAGGAUUAGAUACCCUGGUAGUCCACGCCGUAAACGUUGGGAACUAGGUGUUGGCGACAUUCCACGUCGUCGGUGCCGCAGCUAACGCAUAAGUCCC